UACGUAGGGUGCAAGCGUUGUUCGGAAUUACUGGGCGUAAAGGGCGCGUAGGCGGGCCCGUGUGUCGAUUGUGAAAGCCCCGAGCUCAACUUGGGAAUUGCAGUCGAAACUGCGGGUCUUGAAUGCCUGAGGGGAUGGCGGAAUUUCCGGUGUAGAAGUGAAAUUCGUAGAUAUCGGAAAGAACACCUGAGGCGAAGGCGGCUAUCUGGCGGUGCAUUGACGCUGAGGCGCGAAAGCGUGGGGAGCAAACAGG
RNAcentral lists this ribosomal RNA (253 nucleotides) under uncultured bacterium. RNAcentral describes it as "partial 16S ribosomal RNA". It matches the Rfam family "Bacterial small subunit ribosomal RNA", at positions 524 to 776 of the family's 1533-position model. The record is from RNAcentral.